Zea mays is the source of this 1693-nucleotide RNA transcript. RefSeq lists it as uncharacterized. The record is from RefSeq and is marked validated. Lineage: Eukaryota; Viridiplantae; Streptophyta; Magnoliopsida; Poales; Poaceae. The transcript is spliced from 6 exons.
UUGCCCCUUCGGCCCCACCUCGUGAUCACCCGUUCCGUGCUGCUCCGCCUGCCCCACAGCCUACAGUUGGGAGUUCAAACUUCGAGAGCCGAAGCGAAGCGGGGCCAUGGGGAGAUCACGAGCGACUGCCGCCGCCGCCACCUCCAGGCCCAGGCGCAACCCCAAGCCAAAGCCGGACUCCCCCUUCCUCUCCCCGCUCGCGUCGCUGUCUGCCACACCGCGCAUCCGCACCCGCAAGGGCGCCAUCCGCCGCGGCGGCCCCUCCCACGCGUCGUCGUCGCCGGGUUCUUCCCCCACCGGUCUCAACGUCAGAUUCCUUUCCUCGCCGGGCUCCGCCUCCCCGUCGAAGCCCAAGCCGAAGCUAAGGUCCAGUGCCAAGCCCAAGUCGCGCCCCUCCUUCGUCUCCCCGCUCUCGUCGCCGUCACCCGCACCACGUACCCGCAAACGCACCGUCCGCGGCGUCGGCUCCUCACCUGCGUCGUCGUCGCCGGGGUCCUCUCCAGCCGAACUCAACAUCAGCUUGCCCUCCUCGCCGGGCUUCUCCGCCUCCCCGCCGAAGCCCAGUGCCAGGGCCAAUCUCGCCGCGCGCGCCCCCUUCGUCGCUAGCCCCCGCACCGCCACACCUUCCCCCGCCGCGUCUCCCCAGCCUGCUUCGGUGUCGGCGAAGGGGUUAUCCAGCGUCGGAGACCUCAGGACCGCCGUCGCCUCACAGAUGGAGAACCUCAAGCGCCGACUCGACGCGCUCCAUUCCCGCGCUCACGACGACCUCGAUGCGUCCUUCUCCCGCAUCUCCAAGCGAAUCAAGACCCAAAACCAAGCCUGUCAGCAUCUGGCAGAUGAAGUUGACAAGGAGCACAAGAAGAUGUCUGAUAAUAUAAAAGAAAGUUCUGAGAUUGCCAGGGCAAAGUACAAGCAGAUCAUCGCAGAGGCACAAGCUUCCACAACUCGUGUGUGCAAGGUGACUAUCCCUGAGAUGACAAAAUCUGUGGAGAAAGCUAUUGAUGGUCUGUGUACCCGAUAUAAUAUCUCAAUGCCAGUUUAAUUACCAAGUACAAGUUCUACUCACUACACUUCUGAGUGAUAUUGCCACCAACGUCCGCGCUUCCCUACCUAGAUCAAGAUGUUCAGGGGGCUUGGUAAGGGGAAAGGGAAGAAAAAGGGUGAAAGCUCCUACAGGUCCAUUCGAUCUAGGUCGAGUAGGGAGGCUGAUCCUACUGUUGACGUUGUUGGGGGCCUUCGUUUUCCUAAGGUCCUCAAUAACAUGAACUAACCAUUGGCCAUCAGUAUAUUUGUCAAGCAUUGCAGGAGCUUCAGAAUCAGACUACCUUUAGUGUAGAACGAUGGAAGAGUAUCGAAGGUAGCUUCGUCAUAACAACAAUGGGAAGGUGGUGCAAGGAGAAGGUGUCACCACGAACACCAAAGGCAGAAGACAAUGCUAUCCCUGUACUGUUUGUAAAUCUUGUGUGCAAUUCUUAAUGGCAUAAGUGUAAUUUCAUAUGAAGCUAUAUGAUUUCGUAUAAAUAGAUGAACAGUGCCCCGCAUAAAGUACUUUUUGGCGGAUUGGGCGAUCAUUGUGUAAUUCUCUCUCGACGACACCUUCAUUGUAAUUCUCUCUGAAGAACCGAAGGUACAAUUGUAAAGUUAAUUUACAAAAAGGGAACAUGUUAUUGAUAUAUUUUAAUCGAUUUUUGAU